UAUUCCAAUAUUGUAGUAAAG
Molecule: non-coding RNA, 21 nt
Organism: Caenorhabditis elegans
Lineage: Eukaryota; Metazoa; Nematoda; Chromadorea; Rhabditida; Rhabditidae
Source: Ensembl